Molecule: non-coding RNA, 405 nt
Organism: Paramuricea clavata
Lineage: Eukaryota; Metazoa; Cnidaria; Anthozoa; Malacalcyonacea; Plexauridae
Source: the annotation of a GenBank genome assembly
UCCUCUAACCAUGAAUGCCCACACCUUAAAAGACAGUUUUGAAGCUGUUUCUCGGAUCCAGAACAUACCAGAAAACCUUUUCAGAGACGGUUACAGAUUUGUUUCGUUUGACGUUAAGUCCCUAUUCACUAAUGUGCCCCUAAAGAAAACCAUCAACAUAAUCCUUGAUAGAAUUUACAACAAGAAAGAGAUCAACACCACUCUAAAGAAACGAACAUUAAAGAAACUACUGCUUGAUUGUUGUACCAAGACCCUUUUUUCUAUAAACGGCGAACUCUUCAAACAGAUCGACGGCGUAGCAAUGGGUUCUCCACUAGGUCCUACCCUUGCCAACAUCAUCAUGACAACUUUCGAGAAUGAAAUUGUACGCCAAUUAAUUGACUCGAACGUUAUAAAAUUUUACGC